GAAGUUGGAUGUUUAACGGACUGAGCCACCCAGUUGGAAAGAGCUGGUCAGGAGAGAACAGUGGAGUUCCGUGUGCAGUUGCACAGAUUUUCCGAAGUGGGCGUUUUUCACUAUCCUUCGUGGGUCACCCAUAACAGGGCUGAGUCCUCUGACCGGCGUGGACAACUUGCUCAGCUUCCCGCUCAGCGUAAACGUCAGGGUAUCUGCAGAAGCUGCGACUUGUAUUGACCCUUUCACCAACCAAAUGAGCCCUCUGGAGUCCCUAAGAUUGCUCGUAGUAAGAAGAGACAGAGCAUGAGCAGGGGAGCGGCA
Molecule: long non-coding RNA, 312 nt
Organism: Lynx canadensis (Canada lynx)
Lineage: Eukaryota; Metazoa; Chordata; Mammalia; Carnivora; Felidae
Exons: 4
Source: RefSeq, a predicted model, not a curated record